Molecule: non-coding RNA, 45 nt
Filed under: Schistosoma margrebowiei
Lineage: Eukaryota; Metazoa; Platyhelminthes; Trematoda; Strigeidida; Schistosomatidae
Source: RNAcentral
AUUCAGCUGACGAAUCACAGAUAAGACGAAACGCGCGUUCUGGAU